RNAcentral lists this long non-coding RNA (346 nucleotides) under Trifolium pratense (red clover). RNAcentral's name for it is "long non-coding RNA (TPRA_LNC001116)". The record is from RNAcentral. Lineage: Eukaryota; Viridiplantae; Streptophyta; Magnoliopsida; Fabales; Fabaceae.
GUAAUUUACAAACCUAAAAUUCAAAAAUAAAAAUAUAAUGGUGUGUUCCUAAUAAUUAUACAAAACAAAAUGAAGAAUGAAGUUAGAAUGAAUGAACAUGAGUAUAAUUUAUGAGCAAAGAAGAUGAAUUAUUGAGUUGUAAGCAUGAAUUAUGUAAUUUAUAAGCAAAGCAAGUUACUAAAAAAGAAAGAAGUAAAACCUAAUUCCAUUUCUAGCUAGUUGUUAAAGCGGUGAGAAGUUGAGUAUGAGAAUUACCAGAAACAGAAAUUAAGUUAAGAAAAAGCAAAAGCAUUUCAUUACAGAGAAUCAGAAUCUGAAAUUCAAACUAAAAAUUCAAAGAGAGAGA